Molecule: ribosomal RNA, 505 nt
Filed under: uncultured bacterium
Lineage: Bacteria
Description: partial 16S ribosomal RNA
Rfam family: Bacterial small subunit ribosomal RNA
Source: RNAcentral
GACGAACGCUGGCGGCGUGCCUAAUACAUGCAAGUAGAACGCACAGUUUAUACCGUAGCUUGCUACACCAUAGACUGUGAGUUGCGAACGGGUGAGUAACGCGUAGGUAACCUGCCUGGUAGCGGGGGAUAACUAUUGGAAACGAUAGCUAAUACCGCAUAAUAUUGAUUAUUGCAUGAUAAUUGAUUGAAAGAUGCUAUUGCAUCACUACCAGAUGGACCUGCGUUGUAUUAGCUAGUAGGUGAGGUAACGGCUCACCUAGGCGACGAUACAUAGCCGACCUGAGAGGGUGAUCGGCCACACUGGGACUGAGACACGGCCCAGACUCCUACGGGAGGCAGCAGUAGGGAAUCUUCGGCAAUGGACGAAAGGCUGACCGAGCAACGCCGCGUGAGGGAAGAAGGUUGUCGGAUCGUAAAGCUCGGUUGUAAGAGAAGAACGGGUGUGAGAGUGGAAAGUUCACAAUGUGACGGUAUCUUACCAGAAAGGGACGGCUAACUACGUG